UCUCCGUAGGUGAACCAGCGGAGGGAUCAUUACAGGAUCGAAAGACUCCUAUAACCCCUGUGAACUUACUACAAAUACGUUGCUUCGGCGGGUGCCCCGGGUCUCCCGGGGCGUUCAGCCCACCGGCAGCCUUCAAAUUCUGUUUCUUUGCGUUGGCAUCUCGAGUAUACAAAAAUAAGUUAAAACUUUCAACAACGGAUCUCUUGGUUCUG
This 212-nucleotide unclassified non-coding RNA is filed under the name plant metagenome. RNAcentral describes it as "partial contains small subunit ribosomal RNA, internal transcribed spacer 1, and 5.8S ribosomal RNA". The record is from RNAcentral.